Xyrichtys novacula (pearly razorfish) is the source of this 9005-nucleotide non-coding RNA. The record is from the annotation of a GenBank genome assembly. Lineage: Eukaryota; Metazoa; Chordata; Actinopteri; Labriformes; Labridae.
UUGUGGAUCUGCAGCCACGGGAGUCCCAGCACCAGGGGAGAGUGAGGAGAGGGAAGCAGGAACAGCCGGAUGUCCUCCCGAUGGUUACCGGAGAGGAUGAGGGUGAGAGGAGCAGUGCAGUGGGUGAUAGAGGCUAUCACUCUGCCAUCAAGAGCGGUGACCUUACGGGGGACCAGGAGUUCCUCCAGGGGGAGCUGAAGUCGCGCUGCCAGUCCGGCGUGAAUGAAGUUAUCGUCCGCCCCGGGGUCAAUAAGGGUUUGGAGCGACGUGGAGCCCUUCCCCCACAGGAGACAGGCAGGAACAGCGUUACGUCUGGGAGAGCUGGGAACAGAGGAGGUGUGGCUCUUCAGGGUGCCGACUGUCACUGAUGCCUGGCCAUUUAACUUAUUCGGGCAGUUGGCCAAAAAGUGACCGGCCUGGCCACAAUUAACACAGAGCUUCAGCUCUAUCCUCCAUCUCCGUUCAUCCGGGUGUAGUUUGGUGCGGCCGAUCUGCAUGGGUUCCCCGGGAGAGGACGCCGGAUCCGGGAAGACUGAGGGCUGCAGAGGAGACCCGCUGACCGCAAUAGAGGAAGGGGAGUCUAUACUAUGUACCGGGGAAUGAGUUUUCUUCUCCCUCCGUCUCUCCCUGAGGCGAUUAUCUAUUCUGAGGGCUAACGCUGUUAGCUCCUCAAGGGAAGAGGGCUCAUCUCGAGCCGCUAGCUCGUCUUUCAAUUGUUCAGAUAGCCCCCGGGUGAAUAUCCCCUUUAAUUCGAGUUCCCCCCACCCACUCUCGGCCGCCACUGUACGGAACUCAAUGGAGUACUCCGCCACUGACCGAGAGCUCUGGGUGAGGGAGAACAACCGUUUGGUAAUUUCAGAACCCUUGACAGGAAAAUCAAAUAUUUUACGAAGCUCCUCAGAAAACCGGGCAUAUGAGGAGAACAUAGGGGAUUCAUGAUCCCAGACGGCCGUAGCCCACUUAGCGGCUUUGCCUCUUAGCAAAUUAAUAGUGUAGGCUAUCUUAGACUGAUCUGAGGGGUAACUAAUGGGCUGUUGGUCGAUGACUAGUGCGCAGCGGAGCAGGAAACCUCUGCAGCCCCCAAUCUCCCCAGCAUGCGGCUCAGGAGGAGGGACAUAGGGCUCUUUGAGGAUAGAGGGUGGUGAAGAGGGGACCGUACUCACAAAGGGGGGAGAUCCUGUUUGCUGCGGUGGAAGCCGAGAGAGUAGUUGCUCCGCCAGCUGCGCCACUUGGACAGAGAGGCCUUGAAAAGAAUGAUUGAGAUCCUGGAGCAUAUCCUCAUGUUGACCCAGCUGAGUACCGAGCUUCUGGAGGGCUUGCUGAACUCUGUCUGGGUCUGCUGGGUCCAUUUUCCUGGCCUGAGUAUUCUGUAGUGUGGUUGGUUCGUUGUGAGGACCCAGAAGCCGACACUGGGACUGAGAUCAACUUAAAGUGAAUUUUAAUGUCCAAACAAGAGGUUGUUAGUGCAAAAGAGGAUGUCCGGUAGGCUGGUUGGCUGGCUGUCGCGUGGGCUGGAGACACUGCAGGAAAAAACCAGAGGAGAUGGAAGUUAUUGUACAUGAAAAGAGUCACGAGGAGCUAAGUUCUGAUAAAAACGAGGUUGGCCAGGAGACGUGUCUUUAACGCUAGGAAGGGUAGUCAAUACUCAGGCCCUGAGGCUGAGGGCUGUAGGCUUCUUAAAGUGCCUUGAUUGGAGAUGUGGAGCAGGUGUGUAGUCUCACUCAGCCUCAGCGCCGGGGGAGGGGAGGAAGCUCUGGAAGAAAGUAAAGCCAGACCAGGCAGACAGGGAAACACAGGAAGUCCAGCCAAAAUAAAACAAGAUGAGGAGGCGUCUCACCACACAGAUAUAGAUCAGAAUAUAUCUAUAUAGAUCUAAAUGUAUGUGCUGACUCAGAUUAUAAGUUGUUGAUGAUUAUUUAUUGCACUAAAAUGUGCCUGACACUGUGGAAACCUGCCGGUGAGGCAUCGGUGAAGUAUACCACUAGACCAACUGCGCUCUGCCUGCGCUUAAAACUAACCAGGUUUGGAUCGGCAAGCUUUCAGCACACUUUAUACGCCACCGGUGAGCAUGAAAAUUUUACUGCGGCAGCUGAUUCUAUUGACACCUCCCCCUGCCACACCGCCAUGCCCAGCUUGGUGGACCUCGGUGCGCCUCAGUCUACGAAAAUACCAAACUGGCUGUAUGCCGGGCUCAGCCAGACAAAAAUACCACUGCACAGGGUCUGCCACCCUCCACCGCCUCACCGGUGGACACGAAAAUAGAGCCCAAGGACUCUAUCUCUCCAGCAGAGGAAGCUGAGGUCUUGCUGGAGUGUUAAAAACACCACCAAAAACAAGCUGCAGGCUGUUAUCAGGGGCCUAUUCUACGAAGCAGGUUCAACCUAGCGAGGUAGCAUUGGAGCUACCUUGCUGAACUUAGCGAGGUAAACGGUCGCUAAACGGUCGCUAAACGGUUGCUAAACGGUCGCUAAACGGUCUUACGGCGCUGGUUAUCAACCUUGUUGGUGGAUCCAGCUUUGCUAUGAGCGCGUGCACGCAUGUAAGGCAGAGCCCGCCACAUCUGACCAAUCGCGAACAUGGACCAGUCUGGAGCGUCAGAGCAGGCCGGAGAGUGAAGGACCACGUACUUUACAAACGAGGAGCAGGAGACGAUCAUGAGAAAGUAUGAAGAAUUCAAAUCUAUCAUACACCUCAAAAGCAACACCGUUUCCGCUGCAAAAGCACGGAAGGAAUGCUGGCAGAAUAUUGCAGACACUCUCAAUGCGUAAGUAUAGUGUGCAAAAAAAUCUUGCCAUUAUCACCCUAAAAUAGCACUGUUCAACAUGCGCUUUUAACAUGCACCAGACAUGACUAAUUCAUUUCCAAGAUGAAUUCAUUUAUUUGUUCAUUCCUAUCGUGUUUACAUUUUUUGUGUGAUAUGUAGGCCAUAUGAGCCUUUCAUAAAGGUGGUCAUCCAGAAAAGUGAAUGGGUCCGUGUGGUCCCUGAAAUCUCUCGCGUGCCGGAGUGCUCCUCAGACAAUGCGAGCACCGAGGUCCAUAGGAUCCUCCAAGAAUGGACAAGCAAUUUUUCGAUAGAACUCAUUGGUCAGUGGGCGGGGUUUUUAUACUCGGUGAGUUCAAUCUGGAACCUAACCUGCCCCAGACCAGUUUAGCCGUUCAGCGUACGUUGCCAUGGAGACUCGCCUCGCUAAGAAGUGAACCCGAGUUGUAGAACAGGAAACCCCGAACUUACCCUCAAAGUUACCUCGCUAAGCAGUAAUCCUGCAUCGUAGAAUAGGCCCCAGGUUCCCAUGAGGCUGUAGUGCAGGCGAGAUGUGACUGGCUGUAGACUCAAUGUGGCGAAUACAGUAACAUCACAAACCUGCGAGUCAACACUGCAGGCCAAUGACAUCAUCCUUGCUCAAUGUGCAGUAAUCUGGCAUCUCCUUGAACAUUAUGCACGCCUCUGAGCAGGUGUUGCAUUAAACGCAGCUCUCAGAGAUACUCCACCAUAGCGAGCAGGGAUUCCUGAGCUGCUUGAAUAAAUAUCUGAAAUAACUGAGACACUUUGGAGAGCGUCUCACUCCUGAGGAAAACAUCUCAGGCUUUAUUCUGAGACAUAUUAGAAAUGAUGGAGACCAAACAGACGCUGAGACAAGUUUUGUUCCUGAGGUCUCUUGAGAUGUUUUCUGACACUGACAGGGACGUCCAUUUAUAGUCAGAGUACCUGUUGAGUGCAACUUUGAACAUGUCUUUCACCUGCUGCAGAGACUUCAAGGAGCUGGUCUGAAGUGUUUCUCACUUUGAAUGAAAGAACAGUUGAAGCAUAGACUGUUCAUUUUUAAUGCCUGGAGUUAUUUCUUAAGUGUGUCUUUGAAGGUUCCCGUGAAACUUGCUCAGUGUUUCUGUUAUAGCAGAGGGAGGCUGCAGUCUAAUUGUAAUGCUUAAUUUAUCCUUAUGAAGUCAAGCUUUGACUGAUCUUCAUUUACAGCUUGUGAGCAGAUGUUGUAAAUGUGGACGGCAGCCUUAGACAGACCAUACCCCAGACGAACCACAAAGAUUUCGCUAUCACACUGAAUAUUUGUCACACUCAUGCAGGCUUUUGACUUUGAAUGGCAGCAACCUUGGCCAGUUCUCUCUUGUAAAAGAGAUUUCUAAUCUCAAUGGGACUAACUGGUUGAAUAAAGGUCAAAAACAAAUAAAAAUAAGUGACACAUUUAUAAUGUUGAACUGACAAGGGCCGUACAGCAGAGUCCAGAGAGGAUGUUUUAACCUGUCCUUUAAUAUUUUACAGCCAAAGAGAAGGACCCAAAAUGGGACCUGUUUUUUCUUUCAGUUUUACAGCUUUAUUUAUUUUAUUUCCUUCACAGCAGGAAAGUCCUGGUUCACCUGUAGCUCUUUAUCAACUCUCUUUUUAAUUCUAUAAAUGUUACUUUACAUGAUGUUACCGUCAUGAAAAUGUCAGGUUGAGUACAAAAGUGCUCCCUGGAUAGUGGUCAGAUAAAAACUGAUGUAUGCUCAUUUCUGUCUGAUGGUGAUGUGACGUUUUCUGAUCUUGUUUUUAAGGGGAAGGGUGAGAAAAAUAAAAUAACUCUUUUCUCAAAAACUCCUCUGGGCUCUGCUAUGGACCAUGGGCUGUGUCAUUAUAAAUUAAAAAAACUGUGAGGGGCCUACAGCUCUCCUGCUCCAUGCUGUCAGUCACUUGUGUGUUUGAGUUUGGUUAGAGGUUGCAGUGAGACUUUUAGAAGAUGACCUCGGUGCAAAAAUUCAGGAAUGAACUACACGAAGACAGAAUCAAGCUGGCAGCCUCUCGCGGGAUUUUAUUCUUGUCACAGCAUCAAAAACAGCUCAUGAACAAUCGAACAGACAGAACCCAGAACAGAAAAACCACAGAUCUCUUAUAGUACUCCUCUGACGUCACUGAUCUCAACUUUUGCCAAAUGUGUGUGCGAAGCUACCUUCGUGUGUGUAUCACUUUCCCGUGGGAGAGCUCCCUACGUGACUUCUCCCUUGCCACUAUCUCUGAAGCCAAUUCCUGUUAUUGCAACACAGUUCACCAUGACCCGAUAAAGUUUAUGUUAUUGCAACACAGUUCACCAUGACCUGAUAAAGUUUAUCCCAACCUGACCUCUCCCACCAUAUCCUGUUUUCUUGCCUCAUAGCAACCUCCAAAACAUCCAACCAUAUCUGUUAUUUUCCCCCACAUAUUCCCCCUUUGAAUCUUUUCAAGAUUAAACGAGUUCAAUGACGCCGUUGGAGAUUCAAGCCUUAGUUACGUUACAUGAAUGAGUUAUGACAACAUUAUGUGAUAUGAUACUACUAGAUUGAUUACAGAUGCAUAUGUAUGUUUUCAAACCAAUCCAACUCAUGCUUGUUAUCACGAAUGUUACAUUUUCAUAAACACAACACUUAAAUCACUUGUGACUUGGUUCACAUCUGGCAGGGGCGAAAACCUGCUGGCUGCUUUGAGCAGGAAAUUCCCCUGCGGCCCCUCCCGCUGGCGACCUUCACCGUGAACCUUCUAAAUCUAACAGCUUUUCACUGACCCACUCUACAUGACAAUCAACCACAUGUUUUAUUUUGCUCAAAAAAUAAUUAACCAUUUCCUUUACCUGUUUCCAUCUACCUGGAAUGAGUAUGUGUAAAUGAUGUGAGUAUGCAGAAUACACAUGGAUAACAACAGAAUAUGUGUGUGGUGAGACGCCUCCUCAUCCUGUGUUAUUUUGGCUGGACUUCCUGUUUUUCCCUGUUUGCCUGGUCUGGCUGUACUCUUUUCCAGAGCUUCCUCCCCUCCCCCGGCGCUGAGGCUGAGUGAGACGACACACCUGCUCCUCAUCUCCAAUCAAGGGACUUUAAGAAGCCUGCAGCCCUCAGUCUCAGCGCCUGAGUAUUGUCUACCCUUCCUAGCGGUACAGACGCAUCUCCUGGCCUUCGUCGUUGGUAUAACGUUCUGAACUUUACUCCUUGUGACUCUUUGCAUGUCCUUUAACUCCUGUCUCCUCUGGUUUCUCCUGCAGUGUCUCCAGCCCACACGACAGCCAGCCAACCAGCCAACCAACCGGACUUCCUUUGUUCCCUUAUCUAUCCCUUUCUGUUUUUGGACAUUAAAUUCGUUUUACGUUGAGCUCUGUCUCAGUGUCUGCUUCUGGGUCCUCACUACAAGCCUGCCUCACAACAGAAUACUCAGGCCAGGAGAAUGGACCCAACAGACCCAGACCGAGUUCAGCUAGCCGUCCAGAAGCUCGGCACGCGGAUUGGCCAACAUGAGGAGAUGCUCCAGAGUCUCCAUCAGUCGCUUCAUGGCCUCUCCAUUCAAAUGUCGCAGCUGGCGGAGCAACUACUCCCUCGGCCUCCACCACAACAACCAGGAUUCCCCCCCUCUGUGAGUACGGUCCCCUCUUCACCUCCUCCACCACCCGCUACCCUCAAAGAGCCCUAUGUCCCUCCUCCUGAGCCGUAUGCUGGGGAGAUUGGGGGCUGCAGAGGUUUCCUGCUCCGUUGCGCCUUAGUAUUUGACCAACAGCCCAUUAGCUACCCCUCAGAUCGAGCUAAGGUCGCUUACACAUCAAUCUGUUAAGAGGUAGGGCCGCUAAGUGGGCUACAGCCGUCUGGGAUAGGGACUCACCUCUGUUCACUUCUUACGCCCGUUUUUCCGAAGAGCUCCGGAGAAUAUUUGAUUUUCCUGUCGAGGGCCCCGAGUGUACCAAACGGCUAUUUUCCCUCACCCAGAGCUCUCGGUCAGUGGCGGAAUACUCCAUUGAGUUCCGUACUGUGGCGGCCGAGAGUGGGUGGGGGGACCUCGAGUUAAAGGGGAUAUUCACUCGGGGUCUCUCUGAACAAUUGAAGGACGAGCUAGCGACUCGUGAUGAGCCCUCCUCCCUGGAGGAGCUAAUAGCGCUAGCUAUUAGAAUUGAUAAUCGCCUCAGGGAGAGACGGAGGGAGAAGAAAAACCAUUCCUUAGUCCCUAGAAUAGACUCCCCUUCCUCUGUUGCGGUCAGCGGGUCUCCUCUGCAGCCCUCAGUCUUCCCGGAUCCGGCGCCAUCUGCAGGUGAACCCAUGCAGAUCGGCCACACUAAGCUUCACCCGGAUGAACGGAGAAGGAGGGUAGAGAAGAGGCUAUGCAUCUAUUGUGGCCAGGCCGGUCACUUUCUAACCAACUGCCCAAACAAGUUAAACGGCCAGGCUCAUCCGUGACUGAGGGCACACUGAUGAGCCAUACCUCCUCCGUUGCCAGCUCUCCCAAACGCAUCCUGGUACCUGCUUGUCUCCUGUGGGGAAAGGAGUCCACUUCCCUCCAAACCCUUAUUGACUCUGGGGCGGAUGAUAACUUCAUUCAUGCUGGACUGGCAGUGCGGCUUCAGCUCCCCCUGGAGGAACUCCCGGCUCCCCGUAAGGUCACCGCUCUCGAUGGCAGAGUUAUAGCCUCCAUCACCCACUGCACAGUUCCUCUCACCCUCAUCCUCUCCGGAAAUCAUCGGGAGGACAUCCGGCGGUUCCUGCUUCCAUCUCCUCACUCUCCCCUGGUGCUGGGACUCCCUUGGCUACAAAUCCACAACCCUCAGAUUAACUGGUCCACAUCUUCAAUCUCCGCCUGGAGCCCUCACUGUCACUCCCAUUGCCUCCGCUCCGCCAAUCCUCACAUCCACCGACAGAGGUCAGCAUCUCCACCGCCAUCUCUCACCUCGGUUCCCCCCGUCUACCAUGACCUAGCAAUGGUAUUCAGUAAGCUGUGUUCCAGACCCUCAUUAAUGAUGUCCUCCGCGACAUGAUUAACAAGUUCGCCUUCGUCUACUUAGAUGAUAUUCUGAUCUUCUCCCGAAACCUGGGGGAACACCAGCAGCACGUCCGACUCAUCCUUCAGCGCCUCCUCGAAAACCGCCUUUUCGUGAAGCCCGAAAAGUGCGAGUUCCACGCCUCCUCCGUCAGUUUCCUUGGUUACAUCAUCGCCCAGGGGGAGCUACGCCCAGACCCAGAAAAAGUCUGCGCUGUCCGUGACUGGCCCACCCCCUCCUCCCGCAAAGACCUCCAGCGAUUCCUCGGCUUCGCUAAUUUUUAUCGACGGUUCAUUAAGAACUACAGUAAGGUCGCAGUUCCCCUCACCCGGCUCACAUCCCUAAAGGUUCCAUUCUCCUGGACCCCCGAAGCAGACGCCACCUUCCAUCACCUCAAAUCCCUCUUCAUCUCCGCCCCGGUGCUCAAACACCCAGAUCCCUCGCUUCAGUUCAUGGUGGAGGUCGACGCUUCGGACUCUGGAGUAGGGGCCAUCCUCUCACAGAGGGACUCUCAGACCCAGAAGCUUCAUCCUUGCGCCUUUUUCUCCCGGAAACUCUCAGCCACGGAACAAAAUUACGACGUGGGAAACCGUGAAUUACUGGCUGUCGUGUGGGCACUGCAGGAAUGGAGACACUGGCUGGAAGGAGCUUCCCAACCGUUUCUAAUCUGGACAGACCACAAGAACCUGCAAUACCUCCGCUCCGCUCGUCGCCUCAACCCCAGGCAAGCCCGCUGGUCCCUUUUUCUCAGCAGAUUCAAUUUCACCCUCUCCUAUCGUCCCGGCUCCCGCAACCUCAAACCAGACGCCCUCUCUCGGAUCCACGCCUUGGAUACUCCGGACCCCAGUGAACCAGACACCAUCCUCCCCGCCUCCUGUGUCGUCGGCUCCGCCACCUGGGAGAUCGAUACCAUCGUGGACCAGGCCCUCCGGAACCACCCAGACCCCGGAACUGGCCCGCCGGACAGAAAGUUCGUCCCUGAGGUCGCACGUUCUCAGGUCCUACAGUGGGGGCACUCCUCCAAGCUCACCUGCCACCCCGGGUUUCAACGUACCCUCCAAUUCCUCCAGCAGCGGUUCUGGUGGCCGGGGAUGGUCCGGGACGUACGGGCGUUUGUUGCUGCCUGCUCUGUCUGUGCCCGAAGCAAAGCCUCCCACCAACCUCCGGCUGGCUUGCUGCGUCCUCUGCCUGUGCCUUCACGCCCCUGGUCCCACAUAGCCUUAGAUUUCGUCACUGGUCUCCCUCCCUCUGAAG